RNAcentral lists this ribosomal RNA (521 nucleotides) under uncultured bacterium. Its description in RNAcentral is "bacterial SSU rRNA". It matches the Rfam family "Archaeal small subunit ribosomal RNA", at positions 345 to 866 of the family's 1478-position model. The record is from RNAcentral.
AACCUCCGCAAUGUGAGAAAUCGCGACGGGGGGAUCCCAAGUGCCAUUCUUAACGGGAUGGCUUUUCAUUAGUAUAAAGAGCUUUUGGAAUAAGAGCUGGGCAAGACCGGUGCCAGCCGCCGCGGUAACACCGGCAGCUCUAGUGGUAACAAUUUUUAUUGGGCCUAAAGCGUCCGCAGCCGGUUUAAUAAGUCUCUGGUGAAAUCCUGCAGCUUAACUGUGGGAAUUGCUGGAGAUACUAUUAGACUUGAGACCGGGAGAGGUUAGAGGUAUUCCCAGGGUAGAGGUGAAAUUCUGUAAUCCUGGGAGGACCGCCUGUUGCGAAGGCGUCUAACUGGAACGGUUCUGACGGUGAGGGACGAAAGUUAGGGGCGCGAACCGGAUUAGAUACCCGGGUAGUCCUAACUGUAAACGAUGCGGACUUGGUGUUGGGGUGGCUUUGAGCUGCUCCAGUGCCGAGGGGAAGCUGUUAAGUCCGCCGCCUGGGAAGUACGGUCGCAAGACUGAAACUUAAAGGAAUU